This 497-nucleotide ribosomal RNA is filed under the name uncultured bacterium. RNAcentral's name for it is "partial 16S ribosomal RNA". It matches the Rfam family "Bacterial small subunit ribosomal RNA", at positions 28 to 507 of the family's 1533-position model. The record is from RNAcentral.
GAUGAACGCUGGCGGCGUGCCUAAUACAUGCAAGUCGAGCGAACGGACGAGAAGCUUGCUUCUCUGAUGUUAGCGGCGGACGGGGGAGUAACACGUGGAUAACCUACCUAUAAGACUGGGAUAACUUCGGGAAACCGGGGCUAAGACCGGAUAAUAGUUUGAACCGCAUGGUUCAAAAGUGAAAGACGGUCUUGCUGUCACUUAUAGAUGGAUCCGCGCUGCAUUAGCUAGUUGGUAAGGUAACGGCUUACCAAGGCAACGAUGCAUAGCCGACCUGAGAGGGUGAUCGGCCACACUGGAACUGAGACACGGUCCAGACUCCUACGGGAGGCAGCAGUAGGGAAUCUUCCGCAAUGGGCGAAAGCCUGACGGAGCAACGCCGCGUGAGUGAUGAAGGUCUUCGGAUCGUAAAACUCUGUUAUUAGGGAAGAACAUAUGUGUAAGUAACUGUGCACAUCUUGACGGUACCUAAUCAGAAAGCCACGGCUAACUACGUG